Long non-coding RNA from Humulus lupulus (European hop), 807 nucleotides. RefSeq lists it as uncharacterized. The transcript is spliced from 3 exons. The record is from RefSeq and is a predicted model, not a curated record. NCBI's taxonomy places the organism in Eukaryota, Viridiplantae, Streptophyta, Magnoliopsida, Rosales, Cannabaceae.
AUAAAGUUUACUGGAGUAGCUAUGUUAAAGGGAUUCACGCUGGACAAAUGGUUCUGCGGCUAGUUGAAGCAAUUGAUGUUUAUCUUGCUGGGACUGUCAUGUUGAUCUUUGGCAUGGGCUUAUACGGAUUGUUUAUCAGUAAUGUGCCUCCUGAUGAGAAAAAAGCAAGUGAAAGGCAAUCUUAAUGCCAAAGUUGGAAAGAUAGCUGGCUGUGUUGAUGUUAAUGCCCAAAAACGUAUCACUACUCUGGGGGAGGCAUAAUCCUGGGUAGGUUUAAUGGCUUAUAUUUCUUAAGUUGAGAGGUCAGGCCCAUUGAUUUUGGGUUGUCUUCCAGUGGAGAAACUCAGGUCAGUACUUUGUCUCUAGAGGCUGUAAAUAUAACCAUUCCACUAUAUUUUUUUACCAGUUAUUAUUUUUUGUUUUUAGUUUCCCUUUAUUUGAAAAUAAACAGCAACUUAAGCUAUGAAACUGUUUUUUUUUAACAGAAUAUACUUUUUCUCCCUUCUCCUACCAAUUUUAGCAUAAACAAGCGGGAUGAAAGUUAAAGAGCAACAACCCUUAUAAAUGAAAAUGUAUUAAAGGCCGAUUUUUGUUGUUAGCGUAUUAAUAUAUUAAAAUUUACUAUUAAAAUAGUUGCAUUGAUUAACAUUAAUACAAUUGUUAGUUUUGUUCUCUUAGUUUUGAAGUAAGCACAACAUGUGAACUUGAGAUAUAUGGAAACUAGUGAUUUUUUGCUAAUUGUGGCCAUUGCAACUUGCAAAGCUAUUGAGUGUUGAAAUUUUUGACUUAAUUACUUGUGUUAAUACA